ACGAACGCUGGCGGCGUGCUUAACACAUGCCAGUCGAACGAUGAAGCGGUGCUUGCACCGUGGAUUAGUGGCGAACGGGUGAGUAAUACGUGAGUGACCUACCUUUGACUCUGGGAUAAGCCUGGGAAACUGGGUCUAAUACCGGAUACGACCAAUCUCUGCAUGGGGUGUUGGUGGAAAGCGUUAUGGAGUGGUUUUAGAUGGGCUCACGGCCUAUCAGCUUGUUGGUGAGGUAAUGGCUUACCAAGGCGACGACGGGUAGCCAGCCUGAGAGGGUGACCGGCCACACUGGGACUGAGACACGGCCCAGACUCCUACGGGAGGCAGCAGUGGGGAAUAUUGCACAAUGGGCGCAAGCCUGAUGCAGCGACGCCGCGUGAGGGAUGACGGCCUUCGGGUUGUAAACCUCUGUUAGCAUCGAAGAAGCGAAAGUGACGGUAGGUGCAGAGAAAGCGCCGGCUAACUACGUG
Molecule: ribosomal RNA, 470 nt
Filed under: uncultured bacterium
Lineage: Bacteria
Description: partial 16S ribosomal RNA
Rfam family: Bacterial small subunit ribosomal RNA
Source: RNAcentral